CCGUGGUGGAGAGACACGUGAGUUGCGUCCACCGUGCAGUACAGUGCCUCCAGUCUUGGGGUAAGCCGCUUAUAUUAUAGCUGCUAGUAUUUUUAAAGUAGAGAAGAUUAAGGUUAUCUUUGCCCUUUUUUGUUUGUAGGGUUUGAUUGCUGCCGCACCCUCUCAGGGAUCAACUGCCUGAUUUUAAGCGAAGAGUUGAGACGCCUGCCUAGCUGCUGUCUUGUCUUGCCUUGUUUUAUCUUGUGUUCCGAUCUGUUGGCUGUCCAAUUUUGUUCCUGCUGCUUGUCUCGCCUCGCCCCUGGGGGCUUUGGGUCUCACGCUAAGCCCCUUUUGGACUAUCGUUUCACUCCAGCUUUCGCGGCUGGUCGGGGCGAUCCUCAGCUGCAUAUUGGGCUGGUGUUACAAGACUGGUACUGCCUCUCCCUUUUCUCUCAGUUGUGGAGAGCUACGCGAGACUGAGUGGGGCUACGGACAAUCGGAACGAGCACCAGCUGUGGGCUGGCUCACAGACGAACUGAGGAUCUACCAGCGGCCGUGGGACCUUAGGUGGCGGGUCGUUUUCCACACUUCUUUUGUUGUACAGCACCAGGUGAAUAGACUAUAGUGGGUUUUUUGUGUGGUUUUCUUUUGGUCCACCGCUGCUGGUAAGUCCCAGUUGUGUUUAUUUUUUUUUAUUGUAAUUUGGGACACCGUUUUAGACAUUCAGUGCGCUGUCAUUGUUGUUUUGUUUUUAUUUUACAUUAAUAAAUAAAAUUGUUAAUAUUUGAGUCGGCCUCAGUGUGCAUCCCUGAACCUGUGCAAAUGUUGUUGUUUUAAUUACAUUUCAUUUUUAAAGUUCAUAUUUCCUGGGGGCUAGAAUUCCCCCUCAGGUGGCGUUGUCAUUUUAUUAUUUCUUUUAUAACCCCGCCGACCACUUGGUCACAGAUGCAGAGCAUUAAUCUCUACUGAAUUUACUGCUUUUUUUAAUGUCCAUUUUUGUUCCAUUACAUUAAGGUACAGAAUUAUCACCACAGUUUCCACACUGGUCAUCAAGGCCUUGUGCGAGCCAUUGGUACUGUCUUUCUA
Molecule: long non-coding RNA, 1065 nt
Filed under: Oreochromis niloticus (Nile tilapia)
Lineage: Eukaryota; Metazoa; Chordata; Actinopteri; Cichliformes; Cichlidae
Description: lncRNA (ENSONIG00000036255.1)
Source: RNAcentral